AAGAAAUAAAAAAAGGAGUGAACUUUGUUGCUCUUUACACUAAAAAAGACCUUAUCUUUCCCUUCAAUUUCUCUCUGUGAGUUUCUCUAACAUGCACUCAAUCCCAUUACCAGCUGUGAUGCAUCCUCUCUCUCUCUCAGCUUCUUCUCGCUUUCUCUCUCAAAAACUUUUAAUUCCAAGUUCCUUUUUUUCAAAUUUCAAAACAACCCACCAAAGAUUUGACAAAAAUUUCACUAAAGUCCCUAUCAUUAUCAGAAAUUGCACUAGCCCUCCAGUCUCUGCAAAACCAUCUUCACAAAUUAGAUGGAGCCGUGCAAAAAAGUCGGAACCGGAUGAGAAGCUUCAAGCUCUACGUGAGUUGUUUUCUAAGCCUGGGAUUGGUAUUGAUGCUUAUAUUAUACCUUCUCAGGAUGCUCACCAAAGUGAAUUCAUUGCUGAAUGUUAUAUGCGGAGGACGUAUAUAUCAGGGUUCACUGGUAGUGCCGGCACUGCUGUUGUCACAAAGGAGAAAGCAGCACUUUGGACAGAUGGUCGAUAUUUUCUCCAGGCUGAGAAGCAAUUGAAUUCUAAUUGGAUUCUCAUGCGGGCUGGUAAUCCUGGAGUCCCGACAACAAGCGAAUGGCUUAAUGAUGUUUUGGCUCCUGGGGCCAAAGUUGGUGUUGAUCCUUUUCUUUUCUCUUUUGAUGCUGCCGAGGAAUUGAAAGAAGCUAUAGCUAAGAAAAAUCACAAAUUGGUUUACCUGUACAAUCCAAAUCUCGUGGAUGAAAUAUGGAAGGGAUCAAGGCCAAUGCCUCCAAACAAACCAAUAAGAAUACAUGAACUAAAAUAUGCUGGUGUGGAUGUUGCAUCAAAGUUGUCUUUCCUGAGGUCCGAGCUCCUUGAUACUUGUUCAUCUGCAAUCAUUGUUUCCAUGCUUGAUGAAAUUGCCUGGUUGCUGAAUUUGAGAGGAGGCGAUGUUCCUCAUUCACCUGUUAUGUAUGCAUACUUAAUCGUAGAGGUUGAUGGAGCCAAAUUAUUUGUGGAUAACUCUAAAGUCACGCCAGAAGUGUUGAAUCAUCUGAAGAAUGCAGGUGUUGAAUUGAAGCCAUAUGACACCAUCCUUUCUGAGAUAGAAAGUUUGGCUGCAAAAGGGGCUGAACUUUGGUUUGAUACGUCUUCAGUUAAUGCUGCUAUAGUCAACACAUAUAAGUCUGCCUGUGAUAGGCAUUUUGAAAUCCAUGCAAGUGAUCGUAAAGGUAACUUACAUAAUGGUUCCAAUAAUCAAUCUUGGGGACCUUCUGGAGUUUACAGGGCUUCACCCAUCUCUCUAGCAAAAGCUGUGAAAAAUCCUGCUGAGUUAGAAGGCAUGCACAAUUCUCACUUAAGGGAUGCAGCUGCUCUAGCAGAGUUUUGGGUCUGGCUGGAAGGGGAAAUUGACAAGGAUGUGAAACUAACGGAGGUAGAUGUCGCAGACAGACUUCUUGAAUUCCGUUCAAAGCAGGCUGGUUUCAUUGAUACUAGCUUUGAUACAAUAAGUGGUUCUGGAGCAAAUGGUGCUAUCAUACACUACAAACCUGAACCAGAGAGUUGUAGUGUUGUGGAUCCAAAAAAGCUCUUUUUAUUAGAUAGCGGAGCUCAAUAUGUUGACGGAACAACUGACAUAACAAGGACAGUUCACUUUGGGGAACCUACUGCACGAGAAAAGGAAUGCUUCACUCGGGUUUUGCAGGGUCAUAUAGCUCUGGAUCAGGCAGUAUUCCCCGAAAAUACCCCUGGUUUUGUAUUGGACGCAUUUGCCCGUUCAUCUCUUUGGAAGAUAGGGCUUGAUUACCGGCAUGGUACUGGGCAUGGUGUGGGAGCAGCAUUAAAUGUUCAUGAAGGUCCUCAAAGUAUUAGCUUUCGAUUUGGAAAUAUGACUCCCUUGCAGAAAGGAAUGAUAGUAAGCAAUGAACCAGGGUACUAUGAAGAUCAUGCUUUUGGCAUUCGAAUUGAGAAUCUCCUUUGCGUUAAACAGGUUGACACCCCAAACCGCUAUGGAGGAAUAGAGUAUUUGGGAUUUGAAAAACUCACUUACGUCCCCAUCCAGACUAAGUUAGUAGACUUGUCCUUGCUCUCUGUUGCGGAGGUUGAUUGGCUCAAUAAUUACCAUGCGCAAGUUUGGGAAAAGGUUUCACUGCUGCUGGAUGGUUCUGCUCGUGAAUGGCUUUGGAAUAACACACGACCGCUUGUCAAACAGUGAUCCUGUCGUGUCCAUCCAUUGUUUCUUUUGGAUUGCUGAGUGAUGAGCUAUCUGUACAUGUAAUAUAAGCUGGUGGUAAAGUAUAGUAAAUGGUUGCAUUCAGCAGAAGGCUUAUUUGAGGAUUCAAGGAAAACUAUUCCUGUUUGUGUGAAAAGCUUAGGAAAUGGCUGAUACAUACAAUUGUUGGCAUUAUUCAACACAGGGCUUGAUUGCUAAAAAACUCAUGUUUCCCAUCUUUUGGGCCAAAGCCUAAGGGUCUCAAUGUAAGAAUGGUUAAUAUGCCCUGCGAUUGGAUUUCUAGACCCUUUUGUAUUUAUCACGUUUCCUUUCUCUCCACAAA
Molecule: RNA transcript, 2558 nt
Organism: Populus nigra (black poplar)
Lineage: Eukaryota; Viridiplantae; Streptophyta; Magnoliopsida; Malpighiales; Salicaceae
Gene name: aminopeptidase P2
Exons: 14
Source: RefSeq, a predicted model, not a curated record